CUACGGGCUGCACCAGUGAGGAAUAUUGCACAAUGGGGGAAACCCUGAUGCAGCAACGCCGCGUGGAGGAUGACGCAUUUCGGUGUGUAAACUCCUUUUAUCAGAGAAGAAAAUGACGGUAUCUGAUGAAUAAGCUCCGGCUAACUCCGUGCCAGCAGCCGCGGUAAUACGGAGGGAGCAAGCGUUAUUCGGAAUCACUGGGCGUAAAGGACGCGUAGGCGGGUUUUUAAGUCAGGUGUGAAAUCCUAUGGCUCAACCAUAGAACUGCACUUGAAACUGGGGACCUAGAGUAUGGAAGGGGCAGGUGGAAUUAGUGGUGUAGGGGUAAAAUCCGUAGAUAUCACUAGGAAUACCGAAAGCGAAGGCGACCUGCUGGGACAUUACUGACGCUGAGGCGUGAAAGCGUGGGGAGCAAACAGGAUUAGAUACCCCCGUAGUC
Molecule: ribosomal RNA, 439 nt
Filed under: uncultured bacterium
Lineage: Bacteria
Description: partial 16S ribosomal RNA
Rfam family: Bacterial small subunit ribosomal RNA
Source: RNAcentral